ACUCCUACGGGAGGCAGCAGUAGGGAAUCUUCCGCAAUGGACGCAAGUCUGACGGAGCAACGCCGCGUGAGUGAAGAAGGUCUUCGGAUCGUAAAGCUCUGUUGUUAGAGAAGAACAGCGCAUAGAGUAACUGUUAUGCGUGUGACGGUAUCUAACCAGAAAGCCACGGCUAACUACGUGCCAGCAGCCGCGGUAAUACGUAGGUGGCGAGCGUUGUCCGGAUUUAUUGGGCGUAAAGGGAGUGUAGGCGGUCUUUUAAGUCUGAUGUGAAAGCCCACGGCUCAACCGUGGAGGGUCAUUGGAAACUGGGAGACUUGAGUGCAGAAGAGGAGAGCGGAAUUCCAUGUGUAGCGGUGAAAUGCGUAGAUAUAUGGAGGAACACCAGUGGCGAAGGCGGCUCUCUGGUCUGUAACUGACGCUGAGGCUCGAAAGCGUGGGGAGCAAACAGGAUUAGAUACCCUGGUAGCUAG
This 470-nucleotide ribosomal RNA is filed under the name uncultured bacterium. Its description in RNAcentral is "bacterial SSU rRNA". It matches the Rfam family "Bacterial small subunit ribosomal RNA", at positions 335 to 797 of the family's 1533-position model. The record is from RNAcentral.